GCUUCUUUUUCCACCGGAGCUUGCUCCACCGGAAAAAGAAGAGUGGCGAACGGGUGAGUAACACGUGGGUAACCUGCCCAUCAGAAGGGGAUAACACUUGGAAACAGGUGCUAAUACCGUAUAACAAUCGAAACCGCAUGGUUUUGAUUUGAAAGGCGCUUUCGGGUGUCGCUGAUGGAUGGACCCGCGGUGCAUUAGCUAGUUGGUGAGGUAACGGCUCACCAAGGCCACGAUGCAUAGCCGACCUGAGAGGGUGAUCGGCCACAUUGGGACUGAGACACGGCCCAAACUCCUACGGGAGGCAGCAGUAGGGAAUCUUCGGCAAUGGACGAAAGUCUGACCGAGCAACGCCGCGUGAGUGAAGAAGGUUUUCGGAUCGUAAAACUCUGUUGUUAGAGAAGAACAAGGAUGAGAGUAACUGUUCAUCCCUUGACGGUAUCUAACCAGAAAGCCACGGCUAACUACGUGCCAGCAGCCGCGGUAAUACGUAGGUGGCAAGCGUUGUCCGGAUUUAUUGGGCGUAAAGCGAGCGCAGGCGGUUUCUUAAGUCUGAUGUGAAAGCCCCCGGCUCAACCGGGGAGGGUCAUUGGAAACUGGGAGACUUGAGUGCAGAAGAGGAGAGUGGAAUUCCAUGUGUAGCGGUGAAAUGCGUAGAUAUAUGGAGGAACACCAGUGGCGAAGGCGGCUCUCUGGUCUGUAACUGACGCUGAGGCUCGAAAGCGU
This 723-nucleotide ribosomal RNA is filed under the name uncultured bacterium. Its description in RNAcentral is "bacterial SSU rRNA". It matches the Rfam family "Bacterial small subunit ribosomal RNA", at positions 68 to 762 of the family's 1533-position model. The record is from RNAcentral.